This 361-nucleotide ribosomal RNA is filed under the name uncultured organism. Its description in RNAcentral is "bacterial SSU rRNA". It matches the Rfam family "Bacterial small subunit ribosomal RNA", at positions 45 to 433 of the family's 1533-position model. The record is from RNAcentral.
UGGUUAAAGCAUGCAAGUCGAGCGAACCCGCAAGGGUGAGCGGCGAAAGGGUCAGUAAUACGAUCGAACGUGCCCCGAGGUGGGGGAUAGCGGUGGGAAACUGCCGGCAAUACCCCAUGAUCUCUCCGGAGCAAAGGUUUACCCCCUUGGGAUCGGCGAUCGUCCUAUCAGCUAGUUGGCGGGGUAAAGGCCCACCAAGGCUAUGACGGGUAGCAGGUGUGAGAGCACGCCCUGCGACAUCGGCACUGAGACACUGCCCGGACUCCUACGGGAGGCUGCAGCGACGAAUCUUCCGCAAUGGGCGCAACCCUGACGGAGCGACGCCGCGUGUGGGAUGAAGCGCCUUCGGCGUGUAAACCAC